AGUUAAGUUAGAAAGGGCGCACGGUGGAUGCCUUGGCACUAGGAGCCGAUGAAGGACGGGAUUAACACCGAUAUGCUUUGGGGAGCUGUAAGUAAGCUUUGAUCCAGAGAUUUCCGAAUGGGGAAACCCUCUAUCCGUAAUGGGAUAGAAUCUUUACCUGAAUACAUAGGGUACUGAAGGCAGACCCGGGGAACUGAAACAUCUAAGUACCCGGAGGAAGAGAAAGCAAACGCGAUUUCCUGAGUAGCGGCGAGCGAAACGGGAUUAGCCCAAACCAAGAGGCUUGCCUCUUGGGGUUGUAGGACACUCUAUAUGGAGUUACAAAGGAACGGGGUAGACGAAUCGAUCUGGAAAGGUCAGUCGUAGAAGGUAAAAACCCUGUAGUCGAAACUUCGUUCCCUCUUGAGUGUAUCCUGAGUACGGCGGGACACGAGAAAUCCCGUCGGAAGCAGGGAGGACCAUCUCCCAAGGCUAAAUACUCCCUAGUGACCGAUAGUGAACCAGUACCGUGAGGGAAAGGUGAAAAGCACCCCGGAAGGGGAGUGAAAUAGAUCCUGAAACCGUGUGCCUACAAGUAGUUAGAGCCCAUUUAUGGGUGAUAGCGUGCCUUUUGUAGAAUGAACCGGCGAGUUACGAUUACAUGCGAGGUUAAGUUGAAGAGACGGAGCCGCAGCGAAAGCGAGUCUGAAUAGGGCGAAAUAGUAUGUGGUUGUAGACCCGAAACCAGGUGAUCUACCCAUGUCCAGGGUGAAGUCCAGGUAACACUGGAUGGAGGCCCGAACCCACGCACGUUGAAAAGUGCGGGGAUGAGGUGUGGGUAGCGGAGAAAUUCCAAUCGAACUUGGAGAUAGCUGGUUCUCUCCGAAAUAGCUUUAGGGCUAGCCUCAAGAUUUAGAGUAUUGGAGGUAGAGCACUGUUUGGACUAGGGGCCCCCAUCGGGUUACCGAAUUCAGACAAACUCCGAAUGCCAAAUACUUAUUCUUGGGAGUCAGACUACGAGUGAUAAGAUCCGUGGUCAAGAGGGAAACAGCCCAGACCACCAGCUAAGGUCCCAAAGUAUACGUUAAGUGGAAAAGGAUGUGGAGUUGCUUAGACAACCAGGAUGUUGGCUUAGAAGCAGCCACCAUUUAAAGAGUGCGUAAUAGCUCACUGGUCGAGUGACUCUGCGCCGAAAAUGUACCGGGGCUAAACGUAUCACCGAAGCUGUGGAUUGACAUCUAUGAUGUCAGUGGUAGGAGAGCGUUCUAAGGGCGUUGAAGCUAGACCGUAAGGACUGGUGGAGCGCUUAGAAGUGAGAAUGCCGGUAUGAGUAGCGAAAGAUGAGUGAGAAUCUCAUCCACCGAAUGCCUAAGGUUUCCUGAGGAAGGCUCGUCCGCUCAGGGUUAGUCGGGACCUAAGCCGAGGCUGAAAAGCGUAGGCGAUGGACAACAGGUUGAUAUUCCUGUACCACCUUUAAAUCGUUUGAGCAAUGGGGGGACGCAGGAGGAUAGGGUAAGCGUGCUGUUGGAUUAGCACGUCCAAGCAGUUAGGCUGGUAAUGAGGCAAAUCCCAUUACCACAUAAGCGGAGCUGUGACGGCGAGGGAAAUAUAGUACC
RNAcentral lists this ribosomal RNA (1595 nucleotides) under Niallia circulans. RNAcentral's name for it is "bacterial LSU rRNA". It matches the Rfam family "Bacterial large subunit ribosomal RNA", at positions 1 to 1585 of the family's 2925-position model. The record is from RNAcentral. Lineage: Bacteria; Bacillati; Bacillota; Bacilli; Caryophanales; Bacillaceae.